Molecule: ribosomal RNA, 301 nt
Filed under: uncultured bacterium
Lineage: Bacteria
Description: partial 16S ribosomal RNA
Rfam family: Bacterial small subunit ribosomal RNA
Source: RNAcentral
CAGUAGCCACGGUGAUACGUAGGGCGCAAGCGUUAUCCGGAAUUAUUGGGCGUAAAGAGCUCGUAGGCGGUUUGUCGCGUCUGCCGUGAAAGUCCGGGGCUCAACCCCGGAUCUGCGGUGGGUACGGGCAGACUAGAGUGAUGUAGGGGAGACUGGAAUUCCUGGUGUAGCGGUGAAAUGCGCAGAUAUCAGGAGGAACACCGAUGGCGAAGGCAGGUCUCUGGGCAUUAACUGACGCUGAGGAGCGAAAGCAUGGGGAGCGAACAGGAUUAGAUACCCGGGUAGUCCCUGUCUCUUAUAC